Molecule: ribosomal RNA, 121 nt
Filed under: Lates calcarifer (barramundi perch)
Lineage: Eukaryota; Metazoa; Chordata; Actinopteri; Centropomidae
Source: RNAcentral
GCUUACGGCCACACCACCCUGAGCGCGCCCGAUCUCGUCUGAUCUCCGGAAGCUAAGCAGGGUCGGGGCCUGGUUAGUACUUGGAUGGGAGACCGCCUGGGAAUACCAGGUGCCGUAAGCU